ACCAGCUAAGCUAUAUUGCCAUCUCUGCUGUAUUUCUGAAUACUUCUAGUCUUCUCUAUGAGGCAAUGGAAAAGGCUUUAUCUCCAUAAGGGAUAUACUGCCUUUUACACAGAAAACAAAUGAGCAUAACGUGUAAGAAAAGUACACUCAUUAGCUAUUAAUCCCAAGGACUGACUUACAUUUCUCUUUUAAAAGCCAACACAAGUAUAAAGAAUAACACAUAGCUUGAUAUAUCACAAAAUAUUCGAAUUCCCAGCUUUUGGUUUUUCAAUCACUUAAUGAACCUGCAAUUAAACCAAU
RNAcentral lists this long non-coding RNA (300 nucleotides) under Bos taurus (domestic cattle). RNAcentral describes it as "long non-coding RNA NONBTAT018466". The record is from RNAcentral. Lineage: Eukaryota; Metazoa; Chordata; Mammalia; Artiodactyla; Bovidae.